This 91-nucleotide microRNA precursor is filed under the name Canis lupus familiaris (dog). RNAcentral's name for it is "mir-8799 microRNA precursor family". It matches the Rfam family "mir-8799 microRNA precursor family". Lineage: Eukaryota; Metazoa; Chordata; Mammalia; Carnivora; Canidae. The record is from Rfam by way of RNAcentral.
GGGGGGAUGCGGGAUCCUGGGCUGUGCCCACCGGUGCCCUGGGAUCCGGGGCCUGUGCUGCUGGAAUAGUGCUCCCGGGGUGCAGCCCCCA